This is an RNA transcript of Trifolium pratense (red clover), 1802 nucleotides long. RefSeq lists it as uncharacterized. The transcript is spliced from 12 exons. Lineage: Eukaryota; Viridiplantae; Streptophyta; Magnoliopsida; Fabales; Fabaceae. The record is from RefSeq and is a predicted model, not a curated record.
AACAUUUUUUCAUUUGUCAAAUUUUUCUCUCUCUCUUCCCCCCCUCCUCUCUCGUACGCUCUCACUCUUUCUCCUCACACUUUCAUCUCUCUUUCUCCUCCCCAUCUCAUCCUUCACCAUAACAUCCACACCACAGCCUCCACCACCAUCUACAAAUCAACCACUCGUAAGAGUGAGGGAGCGGCCGAGUGACAGAAGCCGACGGGAGAGAAGUUCUGGCGAGGAGGAGGAGUUCCGGCUGAGAGAGUUCUUGUGGCCGUUUGUGGUGACACGGCGGUGCUUGGCAACGGCGGCAAUGAAGCUUCUUGCUCCGUCUUUCCUCUGGUUGAAGCUAGAUGUGAGAGAAUUGGCGAUUCAAUUCGGUUGUGUUCGGAUUAUACCUUAUGUUCGUGACGGUCUUAAGCUGAUUAUAAUGCAAAGCUUUCUGAUUUUGGCCUGGCAAGGGAUGGUCCGAAUGACAACGGAAGCCACGUCUCCACCAAGAUAAUGGGAACCGAGGGAUAUGCAGAUCCCGAAUAUGUAGACUCGGGCCAUCUUACUACUAAUAGUGAUGUCUAUAGUUUUGGAGUUGUCCUGCUAGAAAUAUUAACUGGUGAGUUGGUACUUGACAUGACUAAAUAUGGAAGAGACAACUUGGUCUAUAAGAGGCAUACAAGGUAGCCACUCUUGCUUUGCAAUGCCUAUCAUUAGAAUCCAAGUUCAGGCCUAACAUGAAUGAAGUUGUUAGAACUUUGGAGAAGCUGCAAGUUCCUAAUUUGAAUGUAGGCAAUCUAAAGCAUGCUGAUGGACAAUCUCCAAACUUGGUAGAACUGACUGUUCUGCAGACAGACCAGGGAAUCCACCUUGCAUGAUUUGCUGGUGAUGUUGUCCAUGAUCACAGCUCAAAGUUGAUAAGAUUAAGCUAAUUGAACUCUGUGGUACAUCUGAAGCUGAAUUUUCCAGUGGUUCUACUACUAUGAAAGAUUUGUGCCAUGAUGUUUUUGGGGUAGCUAAAGAAAAGAAAGAUCCUAAAGAAGUUAAGACCAAUAGAGAUUUGCUUGAUGUCUUACCAAGCAAAAGAAAAGCUGAGGACGGUAGCUAUUUGUCUGAUGAUGGAGCAGAGACAUCCUAUUCUUGGUAGCAAAGAUUGAUGUCGGUCGGUGAGUGACGAUGGUGGAUUAAGACACCCCGGCUGCAUUUCUACCAGAUGACUGCCAAUUGGAUGCUCAUCGUACAAUUGCAUAUAUUGAAAAGGACCCUUGCCGACCUGGUGUCAAGGAUUCAGUACAGCUUUGCUAAAAAGCCGGGGUUAAGGUAAAGAUGGUCACGGGUGACAAUGUGAAAACUGCAAAGGCAAUUGCUGUGGAAUGUGGAAUACUUAGUUCACUUGCUGAUGCUAUUGAGAGAACUGUCAUUGAAGACAAAACAUUUCGAGCCUUGUCAGAGUCAGAAAGAGAAGAAAUUGCAGACUCAAUAUCGGUUAUGGGAAGGUCAUCUCCCAAUGACAAACUAUUGUUAGUACAAGCAUUAAGGAGGAAGGGUCAUGUUGUGGCUGUUACUGGGGAUGGAACGAAUGAUGCUCCUGCACUUCACAAGGGAUGAAACUUAAACUCUCAUUCAGUCAUCCAAAUUCAUUAUAGAAGAAGGCCAACCAGUUCUCUAAACUAGCAUUUGAAAAUAAAUUAUCAGUUGAGGAGAAUUCUAUUAUCCGACUAAUUUGUAAUUUGGAGAUAGUUUGUAUCAGAAAAUCGAUUACUUAUUUGUACAUUUCGUUUUGAUUAUGUAAUUGGAUAUCUUAUAAUACUUAAAUUGGGUUCAGAAUA